Molecule: ribosomal RNA, 253 nt
Filed under: uncultured bacterium
Lineage: Bacteria
Description: partial 16S ribosomal RNA
Rfam family: Bacterial small subunit ribosomal RNA
Source: RNAcentral
UACAGAGGUCUCGAGCGUUAGGCGGAAUCACUGGGCUUAAAGCGUGUGUAGGCGGAUUGGUAAGUACUUUGUGAAAUCCCACGGCUUAACCGUGGAACUGCUUGGUAUACUGCCAGUCUUGAGCCAGCUAGGGGCUACCGGAACAAAUGGUGGAGCGGUGAAAUGCGUAGAUAUCAUUUGGAACGCCAAUGGUGAAAACAGGUAGCUGGGGCUGUGCUGACGCUGAGACACGAAAGCCAGGGGAGCAAACAGG